UACGUAGGGGGCAAGCGUUGUCCGGAGUUACUGGGCGUAAAGCGCUCGCAGGCGGUGUCCUGCGUCGCGAGUGCCAGCCUGCUGCCUACCAGCAGGAGGGCUCGCGAAACGGGGACACUUGAGGGCCAGAGAGGGACAUGGAACUCCGGGUGGAGUGGUGAAAUGCGUAGAGAUCCGGAAGAACACCAAAGGCGAAGGCAGUGUCCUGGCUGGCUCCUGACGCUGAGGAGCGAGAGCUAGGGGAGCGAACAGG
This 253-nucleotide ribosomal RNA is filed under the name uncultured Ktedonobacter sp. RNAcentral describes it as "partial 16S ribosomal RNA". It matches the Rfam family "Bacterial small subunit ribosomal RNA", at positions 524 to 776 of the family's 1533-position model. Lineage: Bacteria; Bacillati; Chloroflexota; Ktedonobacteria; Ktedonobacterales; Ktedonobacteraceae. The record is from RNAcentral.